RNAcentral lists this ribosomal RNA (179 nucleotides) under Leuconostoc mesenteroides subsp. cremoris TIFN8. RNAcentral describes it as "partial 16S ribosomal RNA". It matches the Rfam family "Bacterial small subunit ribosomal RNA", at positions 1 to 172 of the family's 1533-position model. The record is from RNAcentral. Lineage: Bacteria; Bacillati; Bacillota; Bacilli; Lactobacillales; Lactobacillaceae.
CAAAUUGAGAGUUUGAUCCUGGCUCAGGAUGAACGCUGGCGGCGUGCCUAAUACAUGCAAGUCGAACGCAUAGCGAAAGGUGCUUGCACCUUUCAAGUGAGUGGCGAACGGGUGAGUAACACGUGGACAACCUGCCUCAAGGCUGGGGAGUAACAUUUGGAAACAGAUGCUAAUACCGA